Molecule: ribosomal RNA, 253 nt
Filed under: uncultured bacterium
Lineage: Bacteria
Description: partial 16S ribosomal RNA
Rfam family: Bacterial small subunit ribosomal RNA
Source: RNAcentral
UACAGAGGGUGCAAGCGUUAAUCGGAAUUACUGGGCGUAAAGCGCGCGUAGGCGGUUUGUUAAGUUGGAUGUGAAAUCCCCGGGCUCAACCUGGGAAUGGCAUUGGAUACUGGCUCGCUCGAGUGCGGUAGAGGGUGGUGGAAUUCCCGGUGUAGCAGUGAAAUGCGUAGAGAUCGGGAGGAACAUCUGUGGCGAAGGCGGCCACCUGGGCCGGCACUGACACUGAGGCGCGAAAGCGUGGGGAGCAAACAGG